AUCAUCAUCACUGAAGCUCUAUGGAUCAGUGCUACCCUAGAGCACUACUUAUGAGGUGGGUGCAGGUAUUAUGAUACCCUUACUAUGGAAGAGAAAAUGGAGGCUCUGAUUGGUUAUGUAACUUGCUGAGUGAAGGUAACAGAGCUAGUGAGGUAGGUUCAGGCUUGAAUCCAGCUCUGAAGCCUUGCUCUUAACUACAACCUGUUCUGUACACUCAGUGACUUAUAUGAGGAUCCUUCCUGGUAAUGGUGGCUCCUAGGUGGAGAUCUCCUUGAGAAUUCAGGCACAGUCAUUAUAGUCUAGUCUCUGAGUAGAUCCUUUCCAAUAAGCCUUAUGUCUAGUGCAAAGCAUGAAAUCCACUUUCCUUUUUUCCUCUAUGCUGUCACUCCUUACCUCCACUGGUUAUGUGCAUGAACUUCCCUAAGGGUCUCUUCCCUCUGUGGGAGCCCAUCUCACAUUCACUCUCACUAUGUCAUUUUCUUGCAUGGGGUUGGGGUUAGGGUUGGCUUCCCCAUUUUCUCUGGUUAUCUGUCAGGACUGGUGUGCUUACUCCUGAAGAAUCUCCCUAAAAUCUUUACUGUUUACUUUGAAUGAUCCUGGAAGCUGACUCAAUCCCAAAUAGUAGUCUGAGUCUGAGACUCUGGCAUGCCCCUUGGGAGCAUGAAGGAUGCAUGUGCUAGUGUGCAAAACUCUUUCACUGGCUCAGAACCUAAGACCUCCUCUGUGGCCCAGAAGAGGAGGCAUGGAAGGUAACCAGUUUUCUCCUCUAAUUCCAGCCCUAGGCCUCUGCUCCUUUUCUCAGCACACUGAAUGGAACCAGAACCUCCAAGAGCUCAAUACUCACCAUAAUGUAAGAAUGUCUCUGCUACUUCUUAGAGUUGAAGAGGGUGACCAACCAGAGCCAUACAGUUUGUGGAGUGGUCCUGACCUAUCAUGGGUCUAUACAAGGUGGCAGUUUAGGGGAACUAACUAAUAUGUCUUUAGCCUUGCUUCCCCUUAAUCUCCAGCCCUGACAUUUCUUCUUCAUCCUUACAUUUCAAUGUUCUCCAGGAUUCUCCAAUCUUUUCUUUUUUCUUCUUACCCAAUCCACUCUCCCUUGUCCCUCUUAUCCACACACAUCUAUAGCUAGAUUACAUAUGUUGUGCUUCAGACUCCUACAUGAAGCUUCACAGAUCUGGUAAAAUAAUAUACCUAAAUAAAAACCUAUCCCUUUCUCCACAAAAUGUACUUAUUUUUCAAUA
RNAcentral lists this long non-coding RNA (1241 nucleotides) under Marmota monax (woodchuck). Lineage: Eukaryota; Metazoa; Chordata; Mammalia; Rodentia; Sciuridae. The record is from RNAcentral.